CGGUAGUUGUAAAUCCUACUUGUUCCCCUGAGCAGAGUUAAUCCUUGAUAUGUUCACUUUAACCAGUGACGGACUUUCUCUUCUUUGGUAUUUUAUCCAGUAACUGAUAGAUGUAAUUUCUAUUUUUGUCCCCUUUUCAGAGUCAAUCCUUGAUAUGUUCAUCUUAACCGGUGACGGAUUUUCUCUUUGAUUGGUCUUCUACCCAGUAACCGAUAAUUGUAAAUCCUACUUUGUCCCCUCGCG
This 243-nucleotide long non-coding RNA is filed under the name Lathyrus oleraceus (garden pea). Its description in RNAcentral is "Pisum sativum (pea) long non-coding RNA (PSAT_LNC035950)". The record is from RNAcentral. Lineage: Eukaryota; Viridiplantae; Streptophyta; Magnoliopsida; Fabales; Fabaceae.